This 254-nucleotide ribosomal RNA is filed under the name uncultured bacterium. Its description in RNAcentral is "partial 16S ribosomal RNA". It matches the Rfam family "Bacterial small subunit ribosomal RNA", at positions 524 to 776 of the family's 1533-position model. The record is from RNAcentral.
UACGGGGGGGGCAAGCGUUGUUCGGAAUUACUGGGCGUAAAGGGUUCGUAGGUGGCCAACUAAGUCAGACGUGAAAUCCCUCAGCUUAACUGGGGAACUGCGUCUGAUACUGGUUGGCUUGAAUCCGGGAGAGGGAUGUGGAAUUCCAGGUGUAGCGGUGAAAUGCGUAGAUAUCGAGAGGAACACCAGAGGUGAAGACGGGUUGCUGGGCCGACACUGACGCUGAUAGCGCGAAAGCCAGGGGAGCAAACGGG